GAUGAACGCUGGCGGCGUGCCUAAUACAUGCAAGUCGAGCGAACAGACGAGGAGCUUGCUCCUCUGACGUUAGCGGCGGACGGGUGAGUAACACGUGGAUAACCUACCUAUAAGACUGGGAUAACUUCGGGAAACCGGAGCUAAUACCGGAUAUCAUGUUGAACCGCAUGGUUCAACAGUGAAAGACGGUCUUGCUGUCACUUAUAGAUGGAUCCGCGCCGCAUUAGCUAGUUGGUAAGGUAACGGCUUACCAAGGCAACGAUGCGUAGCCGACCUGAGAGGGUGAUCGGCCACACUGGAACUGAGACACGGUCCAGACUCCUACGGGAGGCAGCAGUAGGGAAUCUUCCGCAAUGGGCGAAAGCCUGACGGAGCAACGCCGCGUGAGUGAAGAAGGUCUUCGGAUCGUAAAACUCUGUUAUUAGGGAAGAACAAAUGUGUAAGUAACUAUGCACGUCUUGACGGUACCUAAUCAGAAAGCCACGGCUAACUACGUG
This 497-nucleotide ribosomal RNA is filed under the name uncultured bacterium. Its description in RNAcentral is "partial 16S ribosomal RNA". It matches the Rfam family "Bacterial small subunit ribosomal RNA", at positions 28 to 507 of the family's 1533-position model. The record is from RNAcentral.